CGUGAGCUCGGGACUAGUGUUCUAAGUGCCGACUCUUACUUUACAUACUCUUUGUUCUUGUCGAGCUCGUUCGUGUUUUGUGCGUGUGUUGUUCUCUCUGCUUUGAUAUACAUUUUCACUUUUAUUUUGACCUGGGCGUGUUUUACGGACUCUGAUAGUGCUGCUUUCUUUGAUAUUUGACUAUUUUUUAUGGACUCGUACUCCUCACUUGACCAACCCCGGCAAAGAUUUUAGACUGAUGAUGAUAGCGAAGAUACCGAAAAGCCCAUGAUCUAACUGUUAUGUUGGGUGUGACGCAUAAGGUCUACUGCAUCAUUUCCCUAAGCCUCAAAAAGAUGUAGAAAGGUUUGAUAUCUGGAAAGCAGUGUUAGAGAAUGAAACCACAGAAAAAGGAAAAGUGUAUAUCUAUACCCAAUUGAGAUUAUGCAAUAAACCUUUUGAAAAUUAUUACAUAUCACCAAGCAAAAGGUUAACGAAAUGCUAUUCCAGCUCUGUAUAUUAAGAAAGAUGAUAUGUCUUUUAGUGCAUCAAAAUCCACAGUAAUAAGGUGGGUUGAGGUAAUACCGGAUGGAUUUUCGAAUAGCUGCAAGGAUGUUGUAAUUUUAUUUUUUUCUCUAUUAUACCAUAAGUCACAUUCAUGAAAAUUUGUGCAAUUAAUUAUGAUUAAACA
Molecule: long non-coding RNA, 670 nt
Organism: Vanessa atalanta (red admiral)
Lineage: Eukaryota; Metazoa; Arthropoda; Insecta; Lepidoptera; Nymphalidae
Exons: 3
Source: RefSeq, a predicted model, not a curated record